Molecule: ribosomal RNA, 368 nt
Filed under: uncultured organism
Description: partial 16S ribosomal RNA
Rfam family: Bacterial small subunit ribosomal RNA
Source: RNAcentral
GGAGGGGGCAAGCGUUGUUCGGAAUUACUGGGCGUAAAGGGCGCGUAGGCGGAAGAUCAAGUCAGGGGUGAAAGGCCUGGGCUCAACCCGGGAACUGCCUUUGAAACUGGUUUUCUAGAGUACGGGAGAGGAUGGCGGAAUUCCCAGUGUAGAGGUGAAAUUCGUAGAUAUUGGGAAGAACACCGGUGGCGAAGGCGGCCAUCUGGCCCGGUACUGACGCUAAGGCGCGAAAGCGUGGGGAGCAAACAGGAUUAGAUACCCUGGUAGUCCACGCCGUAAACGAUGUGUGCUAGCCGUUGGGGCCUCAGGUCUCAGUGGCGCAGCUAACGCGUUAAGCACACCGCCCGGGGAGUACGGCCGCAAGGUUA